UACGGGGGGUGCAAGCGUUACUCGGAAUCAUUGGGCGUAAAGGGCGCGUAGGCGGCCAGGCAAGUCAGGUGUGAAAGCCCGGGGCUCAACCUCGGAAGUGCAUUUGAUACUGCUUGGCUUGAGUAUGGGAGAGGGAAGUGGAAUUCCUGGUGUAGAGGUGAAAUUCGUAGAUAUCAGGAGGAACACCGGUGGCGAAGGCGACUUCCUGGACCAAUACUGACGCUGAGGCGCGAAGGCGUGGGGAG
This 245-nucleotide ribosomal RNA is filed under the name uncultured Desulfatitalea sp. Its description in RNAcentral is "partial 16S ribosomal RNA". It matches the Rfam family "Bacterial small subunit ribosomal RNA", at positions 524 to 768 of the family's 1533-position model. The record is from RNAcentral. Lineage: Bacteria; Pseudomonadati; Thermodesulfobacteriota; Desulfobacteria; Desulfobacterales; Desulfosarcinaceae.